UCCACGACAAUGAAAAUGUAGGCGUUGCCUCUUUUAGACCGCGGGUAUUUGCCUAAAAAGUCGACGUAUAGUUUCUGAAAGGGCCUGUCUGUUAUUACUUCGUUUCCUAUACCUGGAUUCAAGCUGUGAUUAGGGGCUUUGCACUGUUGACAUAUCACGCAGUUUUUGGUGUGAUUAGCGACCUGGGAUGCCAUCCUCGGCCAAUAAUAAAACCGACGGAGUCUAUGCAGCGUUUUACCUAUCCCGCCAUGCGCUUUACUCUCCGGCUCGUGUGCUUCGGCUAUGAGUGUCGAUGUAAGCGAUGAUGGGAUCCACAGUUUCCAGGCGAAUUCCUGCUCCUCAUCACUUUUGGAAAACACGUUCCUGGUAUUCCUCGGAUUCGAACUCGGUUGUGUCAAAAGAUAAUACCGGAUAUUCACUGGCAGUAACUUCCUCGAUACAGCGCGAAAGAGUGUCCGCCACAAUGUUUUCUGUGCCUUUGCGAUGUUCGAUCUCAAAGUCAUAGCAUUGCAAUUGAAGCGACCAUCGAGCCAAGCGUCCGUUUAAAUCACGGAGGGACAUCAGCCACUUCAGACUCGCGUGGUCGGUGACCACUGUGAAGGCCAUCAUUUCCACAUAUGGGCGAAAACGUUUAACAGCUAAUACGGCGGCGAGACAUUCCUUCUCCGUCACGCUGUAAUUUCGUUGGCAGCUAUUUAAUUUUUGCGAGAAGAAGGCAAUGGGACACUCCGAACCGUCUUCCUCUUUUUGAAAUAAAACUGCGCCUACGCCCAGAUCGGACGCAUCGCACUGGAUGAAAAAUCGCUUGCGAAAGUCGGGAUGACGAAGUACCGGCGCUGUUGUAAGCGCUUGUUUCAGCGCGUUGAAAGCAUCCAUUGCGGCUGGAGUCACUGCAAAUUUUUGGCUCUUCUUGAGGGUAUCCGUGAGCGGAGCUGACAGCGCCGCGAAAUUAUUAAUGAAACGCCUGUACCACCCAGCAGUACCAAGAAAUUUCCGGACUUCUCGUGUGGUUUUUGGCAUCGGGAUUUUUCGGAUGGCUUCUAUUUUUGUUGGGUCUGUCCUCAGCGCUCCUCCUCCAAUGAUAUACCCAAGGUAUUUUAAUUAUUUGAAACAAAAAUGUGACUUUUUUAGUCCGAUCGUCAAAUUGGCUUUCUCGAAACAGAUCGCCACUUCUUCCAGCAGUUUUAGAUGCGUUUCAAAGUCCUCCGAGAUUACCAAAAGAUCAUCCAAAUAUACAAAGACGUUCUGCUUAAGUCUGUGUGGCACUACUUUGUCCAUUAAACGACAUAGCCUUUGCGCGGCGUUACAAAGUCCGAACGGCAUAACGCAAAAUUGGUAAAGAGGCCGUCCCGGGACGGUAAACGCCGUGUAUUGCUUGCUAUCCGUGUCCAACUCGAUCUGCCAGAAAGCAUGUUUUAAAUCUAUGCUGCUUAUGUAGUGCGUAUGAUCGAUACGACUUAGAAUGCCUUCGAUAUUUUGCAGCGGAUAGGCAUCUUUCACCGUCAGCGCGUUGAGUUUUCUUGCAUCCAAGCAAAAUCUGUUUUUACUUGGUUUUCGGACAAUAGUAGUUCGGUUAUUCCAAGGACUCUCACAUUCCUCUAUCACUUUUAGUUUCAGCAUCUCAUCCACUUCUUUAUAGACAAGAGCUUGCACCGCCGGGGACAUCGGAUAGUGCCUGUCCUUGAAUGGCACGGCACCUUUCACAAGUUGGAUUGUGUGUUUUUCAACGAGCGUCCGGCCAAGGCCGUGUUCUUCGAAACUUUGGAACUUUUGCUUCACUGAGUCGAGCCUUUGGCAUUGUUCCGGCGAAAGCUCGUGCAUCGCCAGAUCCCUUUCAGUGGUUUUCGUCGAGAGUUGGUGGAGUCUCUCAGCUUCCAAUUCCGCCACACCGAUGACGUCAGGAGCGAGCUCGAACAAUUUCCAAAAAUCAAUACCGAAGUAUGCGACUUGUUCCAGCUUUGCCAAGUACAGCAUGGCUUUGUCCAGAGGCCGUCUUCACCGUGGACACAAAGCGUUGAAUUUCGAGGUCCAGAUCCUCAAUUAAUUCCCUGCAGCCUUUCCCCAGGAUGCUGAUCGAAGCACCUGUAUCUAAGAGACCCCUAAUAAUUUUUCCUCGUAUUUCUACAUCGGCGAAAAUGCGAGGAUCGUUUGUAUCCGCGCUUUUGACUGCUUCCGCAACGUGGAGGCGUUCCGAUCAACGCUUCUGAUAUCGUUCACGCGCCUUCUGCACUUUCCUGGUUAUGCGUCGAGCUCCUUCAAGUUGGUGUUGCUGAAAAAUGCGCUGUCGAGCACUAUAGUAAUGACGUAUUCGCUCUUCCAGAGACUUUCCAGCGAUCAGUUUUUGGCUAGAAUUAAAUUUUGAAUUAACAAUCGGGUUUCGUUUUAAUAUCGUAAUUUUGUGCGCCUUUUCAGGUCUUUCAUCCCAGGUGCUUGCGGGCGCUGCUGCUAUGUUUUCUUUACAAGGCUCUAUUCUUCCGCCGGAAUUUGUUGGGGGCGCGACUCCUCCGGUCUUGUCGCGCUCCGGGCUACGUUUCCCGCCGCGCACUUCGGACAUUUUGGAGUUAUACAUUCUGGCUUGCCACAUUUAAAGCAGAAUAUUUUUCGCUGCAAAGACAUGCAGUCCGUGAAGGAGUGCCCCUCUUGUCCACAGUUCCAGCAAGUCAGCGGCUUCUUAGGCUGCUGGACGGCACGGAUUGCCGCGCGCUUUGGCUGCCAAGCUGGACUCACUUCACGACGACGACUUGACCCUCAUCGUCGUUGACUCGGUGGUCGCUGCAGUCUAGGUCUGCAAGUUCAUGCACCUGGUGUGCUCGCUGUUGGUACACUCCGCCUGUUGCUUGCCGAUCCCGUCUCGGAAAACUUCGCUCCACUUCGAUACAUUCAACUCGCAACUGCUCUACGGUGUGAAUCGUCAUCGGGUACACCAUUCUCGCCAAGGAUUCCCGGAGGUUGCAUUUGAGGAUUUUUACGGCCUCGUAUUCCGGUAUGGGGCUGCGCAGACGCGAUCUUAACAUACUAUUAGCAUGGAAAAAGGCGUCGACCGAUUCCCCAGGCUGCUGACGGCGUUCGGCGAGAUCUCGACGUAGCUCGUAAUCGUUACGAUGCGAACCGAACCGACAUAAGAGCGCGUGCUGCAAAUUUGGCCAAUCAGGUACGUGGUUCGUUUUUAUAAACAGCCAAUACCACUCCUGGGCGUCUCCGGCGAGUAGAUGAUGGAAUUCACGCAUCACGUCUUCCCAUGAGUAUCCAUACUGCAAACGGAGGUGACCCAAUCGAAAGAUGAAAUCUUCGACGGUGAUUUUAUCACGUUGGCCUUGAUAUGUUAACCCCCAUUUAUCAAUUUUAAUAUCGUAGCGAUACUGGCUUUGAUUUUGCAUUCCAGGAUUUGCUAGCGCUACCCGCGGUAAUUGGCGUGGCAUGUUUUCGUCCGCGAUUUGCUCGUGUCCCAAGGGUUCGCCGGCCUGAACUGAGCAUUGUGAACGAGACGGCGCUGGUUGUGCCAAAUAGGUUGCCAUUUGGAGCGGCGGAAGACUAGGUGGUUGUGGCGGAAAUUCGCUGUAUUGACGUGGACGCUGGGAUCGGGACAUUUGCUGUCGUUGUUUGAAGCCACCACGAUUUGAGUGUGACGCAUUUUUGGGAUAGGUUUUAUUAAUUUCAUUAUUUCCAGGCCUUACCAUUGACCGAGGACGGCCACCCGAGGACUCUUGGCUGGUAUUAUUUGAUUCUGCCGAGUCACGCGCAGGUGCGGUACCAGGAUUCUUGUACCCUGCUUAGCCUAUCCCUGACAAUGGUAUCUAUUUCUGUGCGCAACGAACUGCGCUCCAGAGAAGGCUGAUCAGUAGCCGACGGCCCCUCAUUGUUGGUCCGCUGCGGCGGGAAGCUUAAAUCGGGCGCAGUUAUAGCUACGGAUUCGGUUAUUGAUUGAUUGGUACAACGAGCUGGAGAAGCUACAUUAGGAAAAGAUCUUGAAAUGAUUCAUCGACCGCCCCGGCCUUCUCUAAGUUUUUAGGUGUGCGGAACAUGGUAUUUUCGCUAUCGGUUUUCGAUCGAGUAUAAUAAUUAUGGACUCUUCUGUUCAGAUCGAAUGUGAGUUUACGCCUUUCCGCGCUAUCCAUACAGUAUUCAAUUUUAUUAAAUUUAACUUAGAUUCUUACCAUUAAAGAAAA
RNAcentral lists this long non-coding RNA (4166 nucleotides) under Rhagoletis pomonella (apple maggot). Its description in RNAcentral is "uncharacterized LOC118735151". Lineage: Eukaryota; Metazoa; Arthropoda; Insecta; Diptera; Tephritidae. The record is from RNAcentral.